Molecule: RNA transcript, 615 nt
Organism: Heterocephalus glaber (naked mole-rat)
Lineage: Eukaryota; Metazoa; Chordata; Mammalia; Rodentia; Bathyergidae
Gene: Rbis
Gene name: ribosomal biogenesis factor
Source: RefSeq, a predicted model, not a curated record
UAUCCCCAGCUGAGCCGCGACAUGGUCCCUCGGAGUGGCACGCUCUGCAAAAUGUGGCCGGGCACAGAGCGGGGAGGAAGCCGCGCGGGCUGGAGCAAGGUUAGGGCGGGGACGGGGACGCAGGGCGCAGCGGGCACGAGGCGAACCUCGAACCCCAGGACCGGGGCGCUCCGGACCCCGUCCUCCGGGGGUCAGAGAGACGGGCAUCUGUUUUGUCAAGACCAGGCCCCUUGUCUCAUCUCACAACAAGAAAGAGCCACGAGGCCCGACGCAGCCGAGGUGCGCAGCGCCACCUCCUGGGAGCGCGGGUACAGCCGGGCAGGAGGCGCGAAGGAGGACGAAGACUCGGGCGACGGUCUUCACGGCUCGCGUGACUCUGAAACGCCGCGGAGGGUCUUCUGCCUACCUACUCACCAGGAACAGUCGGGAAGUUGGGGCAGCUCGCUAAAGACCGGGGGACGUCGGCAAUUCCGCCUAAGACAAUGGCCAAGAACAAAUUAAGAGGGCAGAAGUCCAGGAAUGUAUUUCACAUAGCCAGCCAAAAGAACUUUAAGUCCAAAAACAAAGCAAAACCAGUCACCACUAAUCUUAAAAAGAUAAACAUUGUAAAUGAUG